AUCUUUAUAUUAUACUAUACUUUAAAAUCAAUUAAUAAUUUAUUUGUUGAAACAUGAAUUAUUAGCAAAUGUCAUCAAUAUUUUGCAUAAUGAUUCUGUCACUUCCGUCUGCUUCUUUCAUUCUUCUACUUCAACUUUCUAUUUUUGUUUUUCAAAUUCAAGUUUAUCUUGUUUGUAUUUUAAUUCUGCAUGUUUCAUUUCUAUAUUAUUUUUAUGUACCAGCAAUUGAGUUUCACUCUCUCUACAACUCUUUUCUGCUAAGUACUGCCAUACACCUUUUGCUUGUUUAUUUCUAUUCUUUGGGGCAGGUUUGGUGUGUUUUCUGAUAACAGUAGAUUCAGCAGAUGAUGAUCAUUCAAUAACUUGUUCAGGUUCUUCUAUUUCAUGAGAUGAGUACAAUUCUGUGGAAUUGAUGUGUGAUAGCUGCAUACUUAUAGUUGGUGCAAACAGAAUUGUGUCCUCUGUUUCAUUAGGUGGUAUGUCAACAUAGUUGCCACCUGUGAAAUAUACUUUUUUCAGAUUAGAAAGUAAUCUAUAAUUUAUAAUGGAACUAACUAACAGCAAGAUUUUAUCAACAAUUUACAAACCUUCAACAAAUAUCUAUUAUAGGUAUUUUUUUUAAGUUUAAUAAAUAUGUUUUAUUCAAUUUAAAUUAAAUUUAAAUUCUUUUCUUUUUCAUAAUGGAACUAUAAAAAUAGAAUAUUCCUAUUUUAAACGAAUUUAUUCCUAUUUUAUUUAAGAAAUACAUACUGUAGAUAUCUGAAUUACCAUCUUCAAUUAUUCCUAAGGCUGCAUCAUGAAUUUUUUUUGCUAUUUCUGCAUCCUUCUGCUUUCUUUUAGAUGCAAUCUUUUGUAAUCUUCCUGACUGGUUUAAUUUUGAUGCAGCAUCUGACUCUAACAAUUGUUCAUAGUUGGGCCAUACAGUCAUGAGUACCCACAUUUUCAAAUCCCCAUUCAAAGUUCAAUCUCUCUCUACCACUUUCUGUUGCUUCAAUGGUAUUGUAUUUUUUAAACUUAUUUACUUGCUCUAUUAAAUUCUCUUUCAAUAAUUACAAGCUACAGAAUUUGAAUCUAAAAAUGAAUACGUUUUACUUAGAUUAUGAUCAGUAUCAGUUUGUCUAUGUCAAAUUCUAUUCUUACCUGGCAGUAUUUUGACAUAAAACAGUAUGUACAUUUUAUCAAAGUUCUUCUUCUGUACUAGCUACAUCUUUGCAUACAUUGUUAAAAAGUUCCUGAAUAGCUUGAAGUCUUUCAGAUUUGGAAAAUCUAAACUGAGACUUCUUCACAACCGCCAUAUUUUCAAGGAGAUCAUGUGACGUGCUGAACAAUUCUUAUUGGAAUUCUUCC
This 1347-nucleotide long non-coding RNA is filed under the name Androctonus crassicauda. Lineage: Eukaryota; Metazoa; Arthropoda; Arachnida; Scorpiones; Buthidae. The record is from RNAcentral.